Molecule: long non-coding RNA, 601 nt
Organism: Colossoma macropomum (tambaqui)
Lineage: Eukaryota; Metazoa; Chordata; Actinopteri; Characiformes; Serrasalmidae
Exons: 3
Source: RefSeq, a predicted model, not a curated record
GUGUGACACAGGGGCCCCAAACCUGGUCCACUUAGACUAGGCCUUAGGGGGAUGGAGUAGGUUGAGUUUUAAGGUGCUAGGUCAAAAGGUCAGUAUACAGGGACCCUUUACAUUUGAUCAAAUAGGUAAUGCUUUUGUAUAAGGAAGGCCAUAACUAACAUUUCAGGGGCUUAGAGACCAGCCGUGUGACACAGGGGCCCCAAACCUGGUCCACUUAGACUAGGCCUUAGGGGGAUGGAGUGGUUUGAGUUUUAAGGUGCUAGGUCAAAAGGUCAGUAUACAGGGACCCUUUACAUUUGAUCAAAUAGGUAAUGCUUUUGUAUAACGAAGGCCAUAACUAACAUUUCAGGGGCUUAGAGACCAGCCAUGUGACACAGGGGCCCCAAACCUGGUCCACUUAGACUAGGCCUUAGGGGGAUGGAGUAUGUUGAGUUUUAAGGUGCUAGGUCAAAAGGUCAGUGAAUGGUGACCCUUUACAUUUGAUCAAAUGGGCAAUGCUUUUGUAUAAGGAAAGGCCAUAACUAACAUUUCAGGGGCUUAGAGACCAGCCAUGUGACACAGGGGCCCCAAACCUGGUCCACUUAGACUAGGCCUUAGGGGG